Molecule: non-coding RNA, 7592 nt
Organism: Anas platyrhynchos (mallard)
Lineage: Eukaryota; Metazoa; Chordata; Aves; Anseriformes; Anatidae
Source: RefSeq, a predicted model, not a curated record
UAUUAAUUUAUUUCUAUAUGUGCAUGUGCAAAUGUGUGUGUGUGUAGAUAUGUAUAUCUAUCUAUCUAUCUAUCUAUAUUUCCCCUAGUGGCUGACAACUCCAAGAAGAAGGGAAUCAGGCCAGUUGGGUAGCUGCAUCCUGGUAGCUGGUUGGAGCUAUGUGGUCAUGGUAGAUGUGUAGCAUCGCAUCUUGCUAAUAGGUCUGCUCCAAUGCUUACUUUUUGUUCAAGUCUUUGCGAGACUAUGGAUUAAUUGUUUUAUUUAUAAAUAGAUGUAUAGUGAUGAAAAAUGUCAUAUAGACAGUACUGAAAACUGAUGCAUAACUGCCUUCCCUCAAGCACAGCACAAGCAAUGCAGACUGCAACCCUGCAGGCAUUUUAUUGUAAAGACAAAGAUUUCCUUACAGGGAUGGAAGGGACUUUUCCCUGUGGGGAUUUGUUUUGCAUGCUGGGUGAGGCUUAGAUUACAUGGACUUGAAGAAGUACAAACCAGAAGAGCUUUGUUUUCUUGCACAGCGUAGGCAUAAAUGAUUUUCUGACCUCCUCAUCAGGACCUCAGCUCCUCUUCCUCAUCUGAUGAAUCUGAUAAUCAAACCUAUACCUAUAGUCAUAGAUUAAAAAAUAAAGGGGGAGAGGAGAGGGAAGGGGACAAAAACUCUACAGGAUCACAGUAAUUCCUUUCUAAUGUAGAAUAAUUUGAUUGCUGUUUCUGAGACUAAGAGAACAAAGUGUGUAUUAUAUUUCUGGAUAAAUCAGCGAUAAAUAUGUAUAUUGCAUGUAAUCCUACUUACCCUAUCUCCAUAAGGCUGUAGGAUACCUAGAAAAGACAGUGAGAAGGCCACAAGGAUGACCAUAAAAAUGAAACAGCAUCUGCUUGUAGUAAACCCUGACUGGACUAGAGCUUUCUGAAAUGGAAAAGGGAUGGCUGCAGGUAGGAUGUAACAGGAGCCAACAAAACUAUGGAAGUGAAUUGUGAGUAAUGAAUUGUUUGCUGUCUGUAAAGCAGAGAUUUUAAGAGAACUCUAGCUGGAGAAAUACAUUUCCCAAUGAAAACAUUAGGCAACAGUUUUUACAAGAAGGGGCCGUUCUCCCCAACAGGUAAUGAAAUUGCAGAUCUGAUUGACCCCAGGGGGUUAUUGUGCUGACAAAAAAUAAUAAAUGGGUUCAAAAGGGAAUUAAUUCAAGCCAGUAAACAGUGUUAUUUGGAUGGGAGCUGUAUCAUAUAUACAUGUCUAUAUAUGAAGCAUUUUCAGAGUGAGGAGAGAUUUUUAGUUAUGGUGUAUUAAAACUAUUUCCACCUCUGGGCAUGAAUAAAGUAAAAGAACCAUUUAUAAGGUAUGGGAAAUUAAGUUUCUCCAGCACAGACAAAGAACUUGCAUUUUUCCUACUAGGACAUUUGCCUGACUGCUACAUGCUGCUCACUAGCAUAAAGCACUCACUGCUUUGAAGAAAAUCUGAGAGCACUGGGAAUUAGGGUCUGCAUUAGUUAUGCAGGUAAAAAGUAGUCCAGAAAAUGUACAGGGCUGCCAACACAGUGGGUGCCUGUUCAUCCUUUCUCGAGAUAAGAUAUACUCGUAUAGAUCUUCAUCUCCACAAAAUGACAGGAUAGCCCCGCUUGCCAACGUUAAGCUAUGAUCGUUUCCUGCAACUUUACUGUGGCAUUCAAGUGGUUUUAUUCAGUAACAGUAACAUGGAAGUUGUCUCUGUGUGCAGCUGCUGUCAAAGUGACAUUUUUCUGAUCUGGGCAAACAGUUUUAGUGAUUUCCUUAAACAGGACUAAAAGAGGGGAGAUUUAGAUGAAAUGUUAGGAAGAAAUUUUCACCCCGAGGGUGGUGAGGCAAUGGACAGUCUGCCCAGAGACGCUGUGAUCAGGUUGGAUGGGGCCCUGGGCAACCUGAUCUAGUGGGAGGUGUCCCUGCUCAUGGUAGUGGGUUGGAACCAGGUGAUCUUUGAGGUCCCUUCCAACCUGAGCCAUUCUGUGACACCCUGACUGCCAGGUGGGCUGAGUACUGAGCCCCAGUAAAACUGCCUGAGGCUGCUGUUCCUUUGGCCCCUCCAGACCCCAGUUUGGGACAGAACACAGGUCUGGUGACACCGGUAGGACUGCUCCCUCUUAGCGCUUCUGGGGCUCUGCCUGACCACCGUGGGUGUCGUGGCUGGAGAUGCUCCUGCACGGGGAGGCGGUGGGAGCAGGAGGCUACGUCCAGGGUUUCCCUCGAGGCUGGUGUACGUGGUCAGACCAUCCCCAGGGCCCUGCGGCAGUAUUCGGGGACCUGCUUUGGUGGUGCUGAUGAAGAUGGCUUCUUCCAGGAUCCUCAGGCAAGCUGCUGAAAAUGUCCAAGAGUAAAUAUCAACCGUUUGCUCCUGCCUAUACUCUUGCCUUGCUGUAUGGCUUGAUGGGGACUCCCAGAGGGGGCCUGCCUGCUCAGGUUGUGUUUGAAAGCACAGCCUCGCGAUUGGUGUGGUUAGCUGUGUACCUCCAGCAUGGGCAACCUCCAUGUGCCCAUGGGAGACACCAUCCAUGGUAAAAUAUCCAUGGGGGUAAAAAUAUCCCGCCAUGGGGGUAAGAAUAUGGCAGGGAAAGUGCUUAAAACUAUCAGAAAAACUACUUUCAUGAGCACUUUCAUGUUGGAGUUGGGAGACUGGUAAGGAGGCAUGUAGGGAGUCCUCACAACAGAACAAAACGUUUUCACUUUGAGGACAGGUUCCCCAGAUUUUCCACACAGCCUCACUGCGGGUAUGGGAAACAGGCACACUCUGCCAGGAUCAUAGAGCAUCAAGUGUUUAAUAGGAGCAUGGAGACAAUGGAGAACAUUGUUAAAUUAUACUUUUUCUUCAAGCAUCAUCUGUGCUGAUACCAGGCAGGUCUCAGCUCCCUCUUGGUCACCUGCUGGAGUCCAGCCAGCUGUAUGAUGUGAUGAAGAGGAGCAGCUCUAAAAAAGCCAAACAGCAAAGCCAUGCUAAACUGUCCAUGAUAAACCUGGUGACAGAAGUCUGAGGAAUAAACCGGUGAGAUACUUGCCCUUGUUCGUACAGUAAUGAUAGAAAGAAUAUUAAUUGGAAAAGUUUUGCUAAAAUGGAAAAAUAGCUUGGGGCUCCUGGCCAGCAACUAAUCAGAAUGGAUGCUUUAGCACAAACUGAUGUUGCUGCAGGUUUUCUCCUGCUAACCUGCUGCUGUGUUUAUUGUUGUUGAAAAGUCUCCUUUUUGGAGGGGUCUUUAUAUAGAGAUCUGAGAGCAGGCUGCAGCUAAAGCUGUGCCAGCUAAUGAAACUCAUUGAAGGAGGUGACCUAGGCUUGGAAGUUGCUUCGGUAACAAAUAUUCUCUUAGAAAUGUGCUGAACUUGUGCUAUGAAGAGCUUCUGGCCUUGAGCAGAUUUUGCGUGUUUAGAUACUGUGAAGCAUAAAUUCAGUAUUUAACAUUUAAUCCAAUUAUCCUAGUUUCUUAUAUUAAUAAUGAACUUUGGGGCACUCUCUAAUUAAGUAACCAUUAAUAAACUUUCCCAUCAGUGUUGCAUUAGAAUAAGCCAUUAUGGAGUCAGCUUCAGCAGGUGUAGAAAUCUCAGAAUAAAUAAACAAAGAUGUUAGAAAAUAAAGAAAAAGCAAGCUAUUCCAUGUGUUUCUGCUUAGUUCUUAGGGAAGGGCUUUAUAAUCGACCUACAUAUCACCAUUAGAGAUUCAAUUACCUGUAAUUGCUACCUUUAAAAGCACUCCUUUGUUUAGAAAACAAUAUAUAGAUGGAUUUUGUCAUGGUGCACAGGUUGUGAAUUGAUUUGAGUUUUGUAAUCUCAAGUGGCACAUGAAAUACACCUUGUGCUCCUAAAUCUUCAAGGCAGAGUGGCCAAACUGCUCCCAGUUAAACCAGAGUGAGUCAAAAGCAGUCCACCAAGAUUCGUUACAUUAUUUUUGGAUUUCUAGGCUUGCAAUUCAUCACAGAAUUUGUGCCAUAACACAUAAUAGGUAAUAACAAUUAUUUUGCAUAGAAAGCAAACGGAAAGCAGGGCUCUUAAUCAAUUUAGAUGCUAAAAGCUUCAAAGUUCUUCCCAUGAUUACUCUAGAUUUACAUUUCAUUUUUUGUGCAGAGGGAUGAGAUCCUUCUUAUUUAUUGGCACGACAAAACUUUCCUUAAUGAUGCUUAAGGCUGCUAUGUUACAUACCUCAUCUGUGAAGUCAAUGGGAAAGUCUUCAUCAAUAAUCAUCAGCUUAGUAUCACCUCUAUCCCAGACAAAAAUGCACUCUGAUUUCCCAGCUUUACUGAGUUCCUCUAUAACGUGAUUUUGUGUUAAUACUACUGGGUCACCAUGAAAGUUUUGCAAUAAAUUGCAACUUUAUUAGAAUAUAUUUAAGAAUGGCAAUAAAUAACAGGAAAAUAUAAGGAUCAGAAGUCAGCACUUCUUCAAGUAGAUGAAGAAAUGACUUGUACUGACAUGCCCACAUAGAAUACACAUCAUUACAUUUCCCAGCCAGGAAAAAAAAAAAAAAAAAAAAAAAAGAUACGGUAAAGAUUAAGCCUCCAAUAUAAAUUCUUUUAUUAUUUUUGUAAAAGUUACAAACAGCCAAAAAUAUGACUUGGUAAUGAAAUUGCUGACGGGCCUUAACUACAGCACAAGAAUGCAAUGAUAUAAUACAGUUGUGCUGAGCUACAUUACAUUGCUGCAGUGAUUAAUUCACUGCUGGUUUUGCUGAAGCUGUGCUCUGCAGAAACAUCCACAGGUCUGCUUAAUCCAUAUCUGAGAGUGUGAGGGGGAUAAGCACUGAGUAAGCACCGAGCAGAACUGCAGCACAGUAUAGGACCCCUUUUGUAACACUGCACCACUUAAUAACAUAAACAGGAAUGGAAGUCAUUAAGAGGCUUGUAUAUAAUUAUUUAUGGACUAAAGGGGAAUGGUUCUUGCUAAGGCUCAUUUCUGCAGCUCCCAGACUGCUCCAACCCAACAGUCGGGGAUACUUUUGCUAGCUGGUAAUCCUGAGCCAAUACAGUGAGCUCUAAAUGCUCCCUUUUGUACUUCAGUUGUUGGGGUAGCAAUUACAGCAUAACCGCAUAGUUGUGGCAUGAUUUUCUGGGGCAAAAGCACCUCAGAACAGGCCAGAAGAUGCUCCCUGCAAUGAAGCCCAAACUGACUUCCAAUGGACACCAAGAGCAGAGUCGAACGAGAGCCUAGCACUGCCUCCUGCCCACCCAGCCCAUUUAAAGCAAAUAUAGCCAAGGGUUUAACUUACAGCCUGUGCAGGCUUUAUACCUGUUAAAAAUAGUUGAUUCACACAUCUACGGCCAAAUGAAAUUGUAGGUUAUUACCAGUGCUUGUUAAAAUGUAAUCCCUUGGAAAAAGUCUUUUAUUAUUAUUGUGAUUUUUGUCAUUUGUUUCUGUUGUUACCUGCUCUAAUGUACAUUUUUCAUGUGUUCCCUUUCAGCAUUGUAUUAGAUAUCUACUUAGGUAUACACCAGUUUUUGCAAACUAUGGAGAUUUUCACCUUUGUUCAGUUCCAAGAGAUGACCAAUUUUCUAAAUCUGUUCAAAAAAAAAUCCUGAUUCCAGACCUGGCAAUAUUACUUGGCUCAUUACAUGAACUAGCUUCAUUAGCAAAAAUCCAAAGGAGCUGAACCUUUUCAAUACCAUUCUAAGUGUGAAUAGAACAGUGAUGAUGCAAUUAGCUUAAUUAUAGUUAAUUAAUACACAUAUUCAAGGUAAAAAGGCAUGUGACAAUGGGAGAAUACAAUGGAGACAUGAGGAAACAAAAGUUCAGUCCCUCUUGGCUUGUGUACACUGCUAUAACUGCCUUCAAGUCACCUGAGUUUUGCUGAUAGCUGCACACUGAGGCUGAGGUUUGGGUCUGUUACAGGAGGACCUGGAGGGUUUGCUUCACAAUUCACUAAUAUUUGUGUGAGGAGUUUACUGGUCUUUCACAAAUUAGUAUUUAUUUGAAUGAAUUAUUUUUUUUUUUCUAUUCUAAAAAGUCGUACUGAUGCAAUUAAAAUGGAAGCAGUGUCCUAUGACUAGCUGACCAACUACAGAGUACAGGCAAUUAGCCAACGUGGAAGGCCUGAAGCUAAUAUAUUGACAUGAAAGCAUUUACCUGUGCCCUUGUCAGACAGUACAAUUAUGAAUACGUAUGUCAAAACCGGGAUCAGCUCAGAAGCAGAAAUGUGCAUUACAUGUACAGGAAAGAGUUUGUAAAAGUAGCUACACAGAACUGAUGUGUAUGUGAAUAUAUCUGCUGAUAACUUUCUCUUCGUGUUGGCAAAUGAAAGCACAUUUGAUUUGAAACUGCUCAAAGUGGAGGAAUUUCAAGAGACCGCUUGAUUUUAUAAAGGGUUUCUGCACACAUGUGCAUGCACACACAUUUUUUUGGCAAGUUCUCCUGAGCUGUCUCCAUAUUCCAUCUGGCAGGGUUCAAGCCACAAGCCUUUUUUUUUGUGUGUGUGUGCUGCUGCAUUGUGGUUUGUUAACUCAAACUUUGAAAAAAAAAUAAACUGUGCUAAUGAUGCCAAUCUGGCUGCUGCCCUGCCAGCUUUUUGCAAUUUUCCCAUAACCCUGAGCUGCAUGCCAUGUGUGAGGGAUGGCUAUGCAUCAACUCUCCUGCGAAACACUGGGAAAUCUGUUAAUUACUUUGCUCCUUAAUGAAGUGAUGCGCUAGAGCUGAGUGUGGUUACAGUAAAGCAGCUCAACAUAGCAAGAUGAGUUUAAGAUGCAUUUGCAACAAAUACCUUGAAAAUAUGCUGAGCACGUGAAAGAGCAGGAAUAUGACAGAGGAGAGAUCAUGUUGAACUGGAGAGCCUUUGGGAAAAUACCUGACACGUCAUACUGCCUGGCCCAUUCCAAAACCCAAGAGUUUGUCCUGGGACUGCAUUCAUCAGCCUUGUUUUCAUCUGACACAAACAAUUUAACAGGAUCCAGAGAGUCCAGCAGUGCCAGUGCGUUAUUCCUGCCUGUGGAAAGGUACCCGUUCUCUGAUUGACUGAUUAUGGCAAAAAGGAAAAAUCAUAUCCACCAGAUGCAUCAGAAGAAGACAUAAAACAUACAUAAAAAUGUCAGUUUAUUAUGUCAUCACAGACACCAGCAGGAUUUGCCAAGCAGCCACAUGUCACAGGUACCUGCAGGAUUAGCGAUUCUGGAUCACUCACCCAGAAAUAAUGUGGAAAGCCCUCACCUGACUUCUGAGUUCAGCACAAUUACCGUGCAGAGCAACCUGGAGUGGUUUGGAAAUCCUCGGUUUAGGAACCAAAGGGAGAGGAGGGCAUUUUGCUCACACUUCAGGAUGUUCAGCUUUACUUCUUCACCUUCCCACAGCCACCCUGGCCCCUCGCACACCAUCUCCCCCUCCUUUGCUUCCUGGCUGCAGCAGUUAAAAGUUAUUAUGACAAGGACAUUGCUCCAAGUGACUCCGGAGGUUGUAAAAUAGACUAAUUGCUAAGUAUGUAAACAUCAAUGACUGACUAUUAACCCCCCCAUUAAAGACAGAAAACAAUUUAUACAAUGCAAAAAAGAGUAAUGCAGGAUGGAUUUUCCUUCUGUGCUGAGUUGGUCAGCAAUCACAGUGUAAGUUGACUUUUGUUGUCCCUUAUGCAGUAAAGUUCAGCCUUUGAUAACUUAAAAAA